RNAcentral lists this long non-coding RNA (878 nucleotides) under Lathyrus oleraceus (garden pea). RNAcentral's name for it is "Pisum sativum (pea) long non-coding RNA (PSAT_LNC019226)". The record is from RNAcentral. Lineage: Eukaryota; Viridiplantae; Streptophyta; Magnoliopsida; Fabales; Fabaceae.
UAUUUAAAAUAUGUAGGAAUAUUUAAUUUUAAAUUAAUUAAAAUAAAAAUAAGUAAUAACAUGUUAAAGAAAAAAAAAUCAGUAAAACCAAAUUUAUUCUCUUUUCCAUCAGAGUUACUUUCAGAAAUAAAUGGAGAGAAUACCAAUUCUCUUUCUCUCAUUCAUCGACCUCUCACUCAGUUAGCAUACAAAUGCAAGUAAACGCAACAACUAUUUAACACCACACCAAAAAUGAUUCACAUAAAUCAAAUUGAAAGGAUAGCUUCAUACCAUGUGGGAGUAAAUCGACGGCAAAGCUUUAAUCCACGGCGGUGACUUGUGGUGAUUUCGUUUGCGUUGACAAUCAGCAUGUUGCGUUUGGUGGAUCUUAGAGGCUUCAGCAGCGUGUGGUUGUGUGCACGGAACAGCCGCGACGUGGCUCUUAUGUUUCGGUCUCGUCGGCAAUGAAUUUGAUGGUGUUAACUUCAAUUUCUUCUCCUCUUUUGAUUUCCUUGUUAUCAUUAUUUGUGUGCUCCAAGGGAAGAUAAUAGUUUAACAAAUUGAGUUUAAUUUUUCCAGGGUGAUUCAAUGUUAUUAAUGUAGUGUUGUUAGCACUGAUGACAAAAACUCAUGGGAUUUUUGUGUUGUGAAUGUUUCUCUUUUCUCUGUCAAAAUCCAUCCCCUUUCUCUUCUUAUAGAUCCUUCUUUUAUAGUAAAAACAUCAAAUUUGAAAAUUCAAUUUAGUUGAUUUCAAAUUGAUCUUCUAUGUGAUUUGAUUCCUUGCCAAUUUAGAAUUGAUUUAGUAUUAUUAUGAUUGAUGAAGAUUUGAUAUUUGGAUGACCUUGGUUUUUUCCAUUUGCUCUGCAAUUUGAUGGAGAUACAUUUGAAAUAGGGGUGAC